RNAcentral lists this non-coding RNA (255 nucleotides) under Paucilactobacillus suebicus. RNAcentral describes it as "Lactobacillus suebicus T-box sequence". It matches the Rfam family "T-box leader". Rfam says of the family: Uncharged tRNA acts as the effector for transcription antitermination of genes in the T-box leader family. T-boxes are found upstream of many aminoacyl-tRNA synthetase genes and some amino acid biosynthetic genes usually in Gram-positive bacteria. The anticodon of a specific tRNA base pairs to a specifier sequence within the T-box motif, and the NCCA acceptor tail of the tRNA base pairs to a conserved bulge in the T-box antiterminator hairpin. Lineage: Bacteria; Bacillati; Bacillota; Bacilli; Lactobacillales; Lactobacillaceae. The record is from RNAcentral.
AUGAAUGCAAAGAUGAGUAAGCAAGAAUCCAUGCCCAGAGAAUCGUCGUUUGGUGUGAGAUGAUGUUGGUGAAUUGCUGAAGAUGGUCUUAAAUGCAGUUCUCGUUACCGAGCGUGAGUAAAGUGACGACGGGUACUCCCGUUACAGAGUUAGGGUAUGAUCGUACUUGAACUGUAUUUAAGUACCCAAUGAGGAGUAAUUCGUGAGGGUUACUUAAACUAAGGUGGUAACACGGAAAGCAUUUCCGUCCUUUAU